CAUCCAUGAAUUCAGCAUUCAUUUUACUCCCCCUUUGGUUUGGAAUUCAUUUCAGACCUUUUGAAUGCAGUUAUUACAAGUUGUGCUCCCCCUGUUUCAUAUGCAUUGACAAGUUGGCAAAAUAGUAAAGUGGUUGCACAUUGUCAAAUUUGAACAUUCUCAUGGCACAUCACAAAAUUAGAAACAUACACCAAGAUUCAAAAAGAAGUGUA
RNAcentral lists this long non-coding RNA (212 nucleotides) under Phoenix dactylifera (date palm). Its description in RNAcentral is "long non-coding RNA (PDAC_LNC018646)". The record is from RNAcentral. Lineage: Eukaryota; Viridiplantae; Streptophyta; Magnoliopsida; Arecales; Arecaceae.